GGUAUUUUUGUCAUAUACAGAUAUGCAAUGAUGAUUGCUGGGUAAUAUAUAUCUUGUUGUCCAAUGUCAAGUCUCUUUUUGAUCAUGUGACGAGACGAUACGAUAUAGCUAGUUUAGGCGCAAAAUCUAAACGUCAAGACCGACAGGCUGACUGAGCACAGCCAAAGGCAAAGCACACCUGCAAGCCGUAGGAUGCCUUUCAAACAUAAAAGUGGUGAUGCAUGAUAUGCUUUUUCAAUGGACAGGAUAGCCCGCCCAUUCAGAGCUCCAUACUGCCCCUCAGGUAGCUCUUAAUGAGUUUCAAUUUGGAAAAGGAUCACUCGGCUGUUGCCACUGUCACAGAUGUCAGAAGCAAUAGCAGGGCAGUGCACACCUCGCCGAAGGUGGAUAUUACGGAGUAGACUUUGCAGGGACGUGCACAAGAGGGGGCUAAGGUUGCUUGGGCAACUGCCCGUUUGCCCUCCUCGACUGAAGUUGCCCCUCCGAAGGAAAUAUAUAUAUAUAUUUAAAUAGUAUUACGGCUGCAGAACUUCAUGUUCCUUUAACAACCUUAAUCCAUGCUCAUUUAUAGCACUACGAAAUGGUUAUUGUUUUUAUCAUCUAAUCGAAUCUGACCACCCGUUCCAUGGGUAAUUCUUUGCCUGUCCUCCACUGGCCCAUGAUGCAUUUUGGUGUUACCCACAGUGGCACACAAGGCUACUGGAGCUACAAAACAUCUCUUCAGUUUAUACACAUAUACACAUCAGACAAUAUUCACUGUUGCGUUCAGCAUCACUGGUAAGAAGGGAAGUUAUUGGUUAAAAAAAGAUACAGAUAAAAGUGCCUAAUGUAGCUUUAGAUUAGAUUAGAUUAGAUUCAACUUUAUUGUCAUUGCACAGAGCACAAGUACUGAGACAACGAAAUGCAGUUAAUUGCUAGUGGCAGGUUAGGCAUACUGGAGAUCGGGCACAUUUACCUGCAGGAACUGUACUUCAUCCUCUUUGCUAGCAAGCUGCUCCAUCUCAGCUGCUCUCGUCUUCAACACAUUGACCUCCUCCUGCCGCUGCUCUUCCCGACUCAGCUCAGCCUUCUCCUGAGCCCUGAUCAUCUCCGGCACCUCUGAGCGCAUCCGCUCAAAGAAGGCUAGCAGCUCCGUAAAGUUGCUCUCACUCACCUCCACUGAAGCCUUAGCAGAAGACUGUUACAAAUAAACACAUUAAAAACAGUGACAUGCUAUUUGCCAUCAGGAGCUUAUUUCAUAAAACUUACAACACUGUUGCUAAUGAAAAUCAAUAUUAGCCUACUGUUCUCGUAGAUUUAUAAAACUGCUGACUAAUUCACUACAUGCAACACUUACAAAACUCUGACUUAAUGGGUUACUACGGUAGGGUACUGCCCUAAAAACCAUGAAAACACAUGGUUAGCCUACUUAUAAACAGUAUAAAUCUGCUGCUUAUCACUUGUGAACGCAAGUGAAUGUCCUUUCAGCAGCACCACACCUGAAGAGAUUCAACGUUUUCCCUCAGCCUGUUCAGUUCACUUUCUCUCUCGGAGAUUUCUUUCUGUAGACUCUUUUGCAGUUUACGCUGUUGAAAACAGAAGAACAUCAUAAAGGCCUGUCCUCUACACUGGAG
Clupea harengus (Atlantic herring) is the source of this 1613-nucleotide long non-coding RNA. NCBI's taxonomy places the organism in Eukaryota, Metazoa, Chordata, Actinopteri, Clupeiformes, Clupeidae. The record is from Ensembl.